This 465-nucleotide ribosomal RNA is filed under the name uncultured Klebsiella sp. RNAcentral describes it as "bacterial SSU rRNA". It matches the Rfam family "Bacterial small subunit ribosomal RNA", at positions 338 to 795 of the family's 1533-position model. The record is from RNAcentral. Lineage: Bacteria; Pseudomonadati; Pseudomonadota; Gammaproteobacteria; Enterobacterales; Enterobacteriaceae.
CCUACGGGUGGCUGCAGUGGGGAAUAUUGCACAAUGGGCGCAAGCCUGAUGCAGCCAUGCCGCGUGUGUGAAGAAGGCCUUCGGGUUGUAAAGCACUUUCAGCGGGGAGGAAGGCGGUGAGGUUAAUAACCUUAUCGAUUGACGUUACCCGCAGAAGAAGCACCGGCUAACUCCGUGCCAGCAGCCGCGGUAAUACGGAGGGUGCAAGCGUUAAUCGGAAUUACUGGGCGUAAAGCGCACGCAGGCGGUCUGUCAAGUCGGAUGUGAAAUCCCCGGGCUCAACCUGGGAACUGCAUUCGAAACUGGCAGGCUAGAGUCUUGUAGAGGGGGGUAGAAUUCCAGGUGUAGCGGUGAAAUGCGUAGAGAUCUGGAGGAAUACCGGUGGCGAAGGCGGCCCCCUGGACAAAGACUGACGCUCAGGUGCGAAAGCGUGGGGAGCAAACAGGAUUAGAUACCCUUGUAGUC